RNAcentral lists this transfer RNA (74 nucleotides) under Firmicutes bacterium CAG:884. It matches the Rfam family "tRNA". From Rfam's summary of the family: Transfer RNA (tRNA) molecules are approximately 80 nucleotides in length. Their secondary structure includes four short double-helical elements and three loops (D, anti-codon, and T loops). Lineage: Bacteria; Bacillati; Bacillota. The record is from Rfam by way of RNAcentral.
GCUCCUGUAGCUCAAGUGGAUAGAGCGAUUCCCUCCGAAGGAAUAGGCAGUUGGUUCGAGUCCAAUCGGGAGCA